GUAGGUAACGCCUAUCCAAAGGUUCGCCUGCAUACGCCCCACGCCGACUAUAAACAGCGUGUAGUCGCUCGCUGCGGCGUUCGGCGACGCGGCCAUUCUGGCUGGAAACACCCUAACGAGUCCUUGUUGGGCGGUGACCAGCAGCUCCUGCACCCCCCUGAACGGUGCUUUGGGAGUCCACAGAUCAAGUGCUUGCGGCCACCUCUAGUGGUUCUGAUAUGAUCGAGCCCCGCCAGCGCUGGCGUUGGGAUCCCUGGAACCUGCGGAAGGAUCAUUACCGAGAGACGGGGUCUAAUUGGCCCCAACUCUUCACCCGUGUAUACCAAAACCCAGUUGCUUUGGCGGGCCGUCGGGGCUCUCCGCGGGCGGCCUUUGUGUCCUCCCUGCGCCCGCCAGAGGCCCAACCUCAAAUCUGCUGUUAGUGUAGUCCGAGUCRCAGCGUAAUAACUAAAACUUUCAACAACGGAUCUCUUGGUUCCAGCAUCGAUGAAGAACGCAGCGAAAUGCGAAAAGUAAUGUGAAUUGCAGAAUUCCGUGAAUCAUCGAAUCUUUGAACGCACAUUGCGCCCUUUGGUAUUCCGAGGGGCAUGCCUGUUCGAGCGUCAUUGCACCYCUCAAGCACUGCUUGGUAUUGGGAGUCGUCCCCCGUGACGUCCCCGGAUUUCAGUGGCGGUCCAGCGAGACUUCAAGCGUAGCAAGAUCAUAUAUACAUCCCGCUUUGGAAGUUUCCCGCUGCGUGCCGGCCAAUCAACCCCCAAACUUCCACGAUUGACCUCGGAUCAGGUAGGGAUACCCGCUGAACUUAAGCAUAUCAAUAAGCGGAGGAAAAGAAACCAACAGG
RNAcentral lists this small RNA (841 nucleotides) under Physciaceae sp. KWS 26. RNAcentral's name for it is "eukaryotic LSU rRNA". The stretch from base 452 to 605 matches the Rfam family "5.8S ribosomal RNA". The record is from RNAcentral. Lineage: Eukaryota; Fungi; Ascomycota; Lecanoromycetes; Caliciales; Physciaceae.